This is a non-coding RNA of Lactuca sativa (garden lettuce), 2540 nucleotides long. Lineage: Eukaryota; Viridiplantae; Streptophyta; Magnoliopsida; Asterales; Asteraceae. The record is from RefSeq and is a predicted model, not a curated record.
AGGGGCAUUUUCUUACAAAUACCCCUUACUUUCUUUUGAUUUCUCGAUGCUUCUAUGUUCUAUCUUCAAAUGUCUCCACCGAAUUGUCUGCAUUCUCUGUAGCACUCGACUUAGAAGGCAGCUGAAACACACACACACACACAUAUGUGUUCCUGUCGCUUCUCCCAUCGUCGAUUUCAUUCUUCUCAAAGCUUCACCCUCUCAACUCGCCUCCGUUAUCCUCCUCUAUCUAGCCUGCAAAUCGAAUUAGACGGCAGUUGAAAAACACACACAUAUGUGUUGCUUCGAAAUCCACCGCUGUCGGCCUGUCGCUUCGCGACCCACAACCAUCAUCGCAUUGUGUCCACAACGCCACCGUGCGAGCUGUACCUCCACCAUUACCACCGAUCGUUCCACAUUUUAGACUGCCACAACCGACGAAAUGGAUCUCUCGGACACGGUUUGCUACCAUGCCUUACCGCUUGCUAUUUGCCUGUGAUUGGGUAAGUUUCAAAAUUAUCUACAUCGUUAACCCUAGCGGACUUCAUCACUGUUUCACUUAAGAUUAGGACAAGAAGAAAGAUGUAAGAGAUGGAGAGGUCGGGAGUGAUGCUGUCGUUUAAGUUAUUGCUUCAUUUGAUUUUUCAUCUUGAGACGUUACGUUUUUUUUAAGGUUGUCAUCCUACUGUUUUGAGUGUAUAAGAUAGCAAAGGGAACAAUGGUCUUCAUAUUACCACCAAAAAGUGUCAUACUAAGGACCGCAAGGACAAUUAUUGAUGGUUUAUCACUCCACCAUUGUGUUGUUGUUUGUGUAACUUAUUUGGUUUGUGUAUGUCUGCCAUGGUAUUUGCGCUUAAAAUUCUUUUUUUUUCAUGGAUUUUGUUUGUUUUUGCUCCAAACAUGAGUGCAACUGAUCUAUAAAUCCAACUUAAACAUGUUCGAUCAUCAGACAGCUUCUUUAAAACCCUCUUGUGGAGUUGGGGAAGUAAUAAAAAUAAGAAUAUUACAUUGCUUGCUUUUUAUCUAUAUAAUUAUAGACCCUGGCCUAAUUUGUAGUUCCUUUUUAUGCAGCAAAUUCAAACAAUGAGCUUGCUAGAAGUAAUCAAAUUGGUGGUUGGAAACCUCGACCAAUUCCAUUGUCACACCAUUGACAUUGCUUACUUUUUAUCUAUAUAAUUAGUGGGGUUUUUUUCUAUUCGAUUGAUUUUCCAAAUCGACAUCAGGUGAACUGUUGUUCUUUUUGACUUUUAAGUUCUUGAUGAUGUUGGAUUUAAUCUAGAGCAGACAAAGAGGUUUUAGGAAAUGUAUGUAGCUUGAUAUUUUGAUAUGGCGACUGAUAUGGACGUCGAUAUGAGCGAAGAAAAUGAGUUAAAAGGUGGCAUGUAGGCUUUAGAACAGAAGAUAUGAAGAAGCUGGUGGAUUAAAAACCACAUGUACAAAGAAAAGGUUGAAGACAAUAAUAAACGGGCAUUCACAACAUUGUACUCAUUGGAAUCUACACUUUCUAGAAGAAAGGAAGAACUUUUCACACCUCAACAAGGCAAACCAUCUUGGACAAAACGUUAUUCCUGAUGACAAAUUAUUGUGCAAAAAGAUUCUAUUGCAUGUAGUAGUAAAAAGACGAUGUCGGUGUUACAUAUAAGGAAAAGUUCCCUUGGUCUUUCACCAACAACUCAUUCAGGUUGAUUUAGUUCGAGUAUCCACAUUGCAGACAAACCGUAAGCCCUCAAACAGGAGUGGUUGACACGUCCUACAAAUGGGGUUACUUUUGGGGAUUAUGCAGUAAAAGACACCUCAAGAAGGUUAAUAUCCAAUAUAGUUUUUUGUUCUUGAUUGCUUUUAUAUUUGUCUUUAAGGUUUGUGGUGUUAACAUGAGUUUAUAUUCAACGGAUGCAUUACAACCUCAAAUCACUUCCUCAGAUGCACAUACACACAAUCAUACUUAUAAAAUGCUACUUAAUUACUGUGUGUACUCUUUAACAGAACAUUUUUUGGUAAUUUAAACAAUCGCAUUAUGAAGUUGCGUGUCACAGCUGUUUGCAAGUACAUCACGUGUGAAAAUUUUGAAGAAUUUUUAUCAGAUAAUUUCUUAGCUCAAUCUGCAAAAUAUUUCGACACGGCGAAGGAUGGUUUACACGAUUUUUCUGCUGGUAUGGUUCUUCAACAAUUAGCCAGUGACAAAUAUGACUUCUUUAAGAAGCAUUUGGUCUGACAUGGUAAUUUUUUUUGGUUCUCUUUAUAAUAAAGGUUACUGGGGUUUGUUAUCUAUAUGAAAUAACAAUGAGGAUUCUCACAUCCUAAUAUAGUAUCUCCUACAUCUAAUGACCUGAAAUAAAAGAAGACAGUUGUUGCUACAUUUGUUAAAAUGCAAUCGGUUGCUUUAAUGCCAAAAAAAGUUGCAACAUUAGCCCUUGAUUUUUUUUGUUAUGUUCGUGUGUUUUGGGGUUUCUGAAAAACACGACUUUCACUGUGUAACUAAUCGAAUAUAUAUGAUAAUUUCAUGAAUUCAACAUUUGAAGAACACAGUUUUGUUAUAGAUAUGGUUAGUUUGCAUUCGGAAA